GGGGCGGUUCCUAGAUGUUGACAGGGGCGUUAUUCUAUCAAAUUAAAAAAAUAUCAACGAGUGUAGCGAGACUUAAACAAUAUUGACGAUUUUAAGGCAAAACACGAUACUUUGUCCAAUCCUAGGGUGAACGACAUGUUCGUCCCCACCCCCGAAUCCGACUUCUGCCUUGAAAUUGCGACAAGAUUUAACUUUGUACAAACAUCGUAGUUUCAAAAUAGGAAAAAAGAAAGGUUUCUCAUUCCUUUUUUU
This 252-nucleotide long non-coding RNA is filed under the name Mytilus galloprovincialis (Mediterranean mussel). The record is from RNAcentral. Lineage: Eukaryota; Metazoa; Mollusca; Bivalvia; Mytilida; Mytilidae.